AGACCCGGCACGCUAAGCCGCCUGGUGGAUGGCUCGGCUUGGGCGCCGAGGAAGGGCGUGGCAAGCUGCGAUAAGCCCCGGGGAGGCGCAUGCAGCCUUAGAUCCGGGGAUCCCCGAAUGGGACCUCCUGCCAUGGGUUAAUAGCCCAUGGCGCUCCCACCCUCCUCGGAGGGGGGAGUGGGAACCCCCCGAACGGAAACAUCCAAGUAGGGGGAGGAAAAGAAACCAUCAUGGGAUUCCCUGAGUACCGGCGAGGGAAAGGGGAGGAGCCCAAACCGAACCCCUGGGGCUGACAAACCCCACGGGGAUGUGGUGUAGAGGCUCAGCCUAUAACGCCCACCACCCUGGGAAGCCGAAGUGGCCUGGAACGGCCCGCCAUAGAGGGUGAUAGCCCCGUAGGCGUAACCAGGGUUAGUGGGCUGGCUGAGCCGGAGUACCACACCUUGGUUUUGGUGUGGGAAUCUGGGUGGAACCAGCAUCCAAGGCUAAAUACGUCCCAAGACCGAUAGCGCACUAGUACGGUGACGGAAAGCUGAAAAGCACCCCGGAAGGGGGGUGAAAAGAGCCUGAAACCAGGCGGCGAUAUCCGUGUGGGGCCCGAAAGGGUGGAUCCACCCCGAAGGAAGCCGUGGCGACACGGUUGUACGAGGGGUGGGGACCAGGGUCCCACGUUCCGUUUCGAACCACGGGCCGGGGAGUUCACCUCCACGGCGAGCUUAAGGGCUUUAAAGCCCGUAGGCGGAGGGAAACCGACAGGUCCGCAGCCGGGCCGCGAGGCUCGGUGAGGGACGGGGUCUGAAAGGGCCCGGAGUCGUGGGGGUGAUAACCAGAAACCGGGCGAUCUAGCCCUGGGCAGGGCGAAGCCGGGCGAAAGCCCGGUGGAGGCCCGAAGGGAUGUUGACGUGCAAUUCGCUCCUCUGACCUGGGGCUAGGGGCCAAAAGCCAAUCUAGCCCGGUGAUAGCUGGUUCCUCCCGAAAUGGGUCGCAGCCCAGCCUCAGGCGAGGUAGCCUAGGGGGUAGAGCACCGAUAGGGUGGCAAGGGUCCGAAAGGGCCCACCACCCUUUCGAACUCCGAAUCCCUAGGCUCCGUAGACCCUGGGAGACGGGCGUCGGGGGGUAAGCUCCCGAGCCGCGAGGGGAACAACCCGGACAGGGGUUAAGGCCCCUAAAUGCCGGCUAAGUGUUAACGCGAAGGGAGUCCCCAGCCUGAGACAGCUGGGAGGUAGGCUUAGAAGCAGCCACCCUCUAAGCAACGCGUAACAGCGGACCAGCCGAGGCUGGGGGCCCCGAAAAUGGACGGGGCUUAAGCCGGCUGCCGAUACCCCUGGGCCCGGCGUACACGCGCCGGGUUGGUAGGGAGGCGUCGCGGCUGGGUAGAAGCCGAGCCGUAAGGUUCGGUGGACCGGCCGCGAAUGUAGAUCCCGGUGGUAGUAGCAGCAAAGAGGGGUGAGAAUCCCCUCCGCCGCAGGGGCCAGGGUUCUCCGGCAAUGCUCGUCAGCCGGAGGUUAGUCGGUCCUAAGGCGGCCCUUAACCGGUCGCCGCCGAAAGGGAAACCGGUUUAUAUUCCGGUACCGUAGGGGUACGUGCGGCGACGCAGGCUCCCAACCUGACGCCUCCGGGUAGGCUGAGUGGGGUUGCCGCCCCAUUUAACCGCUGAAGCCUGGGGAGUGCCGUAAGGGCGAGAACCAGGUGAAGGCGGGAAUAGCCUCCCGCAUAGGGGGGUUCAGCCGAUCCCGGGGGACAGGGAAAAGGGUUGGGAGAAGGAUCCCCUACGACCGUACCUAGAACCGACACAGGUGCCCCUGGGUGAGAAGCCUAAGGCGUGUCGGGUCAACGCGGGUGAGGGAAUUCGGCAAAUUAGCCCCGUACCUUCGGAAGAAGGGGUGCCUGCGGUCUUAGCCCACGAAGGCUGGGACUGCAGGUCGCAGUGACAAGGGGGCCCCGACUGUUUAAUAAACGGGUAGAGACGCCGGAUGAGGCUGAAGAAUUUUAAAUAGACCUCGUCUUCAUUAAGAGAUAUGAUAAUGAGUAGUGAACAGCGAAAUGACGCAUAUAUCAUGGGAUUAUUUUAUGGAGACGGCACAACCUACAAGACGAAGAAAGGCGCCUAUCAGGUUUGGAUAGACCAGUCAGAUAAAAACAAGGAUAUACUAGAAUAUGUGGCGGUACCUAAGCUUAGGCUAAUGAACGUCAAACUGUUCUUCUAUCAAUUUAUUGAUAGAAGACAUCGGUUAAAGAAAUGGAGAUUGGCUCUUUAUUCAAAAACGUUCUUUGAUAGAUUAAAAAAGGUCAAGCGAGAUCCUUUAGGAUAUUUAAAGACGCUUAACGAUGAUGAAGUAAGGUAUUUUAUUGCAGGCUUGUUCGACGCUGAAGGCACUAAGACCGAUAGACUAGUUAUAUAUAACAGAAAUCUCGAACUCUUACAGGAGAUAGGAAGACGACUUAGCAAUUUUAAUAUUCACUCUAAAAUUUACAAGUUCGGCUCAAUUUAUGGUUUACAAAUUCACAGGAAAAGCUCUGUGAAGAUUUUCCUUAAAAUAAUACCGUCUUACAGGUUGACGGCGUCCUCGCCCGGUUAAAAAACAUAGGUAGCCGCAAGCCCGAAAGGGUGUGUACGGCUGCUGAAUCCUGGCCAGUGCCGGUACCUAAAACCCGGGUCCAACCGGGCUAAGGGCCGGUAAACGCCGGGAGUAACUCUGACUCUCUCAACGGAGCCGCCUCGCCGUCGAAUAGAUUUAAGAGAGUUCUGAUGGUAUGAACAUUAGUAGUGUUGAGUGAGGAUUAUACGAAAGGAUAUGUUUCAGGUUUUAUAGACGCUGAUGGAAGCUUCUCAGUAAGCAUCAAGGUUCAAAGAGAUGUCCGCUAUGGUGUCAGAAUAGACCCAGUGUUUAGCGUGACCCAGAGAAACAGGGAAGUUCUAGAAUUUCUUAGAAGAGCUUUAGGCUGUGGUAGGAUUAUUAAGAAGCCCGGUCAGGAAAACUUAUGGCUGUAUAUCGUGGAUAGAGGAGCUUAACGGUAAGCUACUGCGGUUUCUAGAAGAUGGAUGCCGGCUGAUCGUUAAGGAUAGGCAGUUGAAGCUCUUUACCGAAAUAGUAAAGGGGCUUAUCGAGAAGCAACACUAUAGUUAUGAAGGAAUUAAACAGCUUGUUCAUCUAUCUUAUGAGCUUUCAUCUUUAGGCGGUAAAGCCGUAAGGCGUAGAAGCCUGAACGAGGUUCUCACGAUAAUAGAGGAAUAUGAGAUGAGACGGCGGGACGCUCCGGGAGAAAGGUAGCCAAAUGCCUUGUCGGAUGACAUCCGACGUGCAUGAAUGGAUCAACGAGGGCCCCGCUGUCCCCACCCGGGACCCGGUGAAGCUACCUGGUGGUGAAAAGUCCACCGUCCCCCAGCGGGGUGAGAAGUCCCCGUGGAGCUUUACUGCAGCCUGUUGUUGGGGUAUGGCUGUGGAUGCGUAGGGUAGGUGGGAGCCUUUGAGCCAGCCCUUCCGGGGGCUGGGGAGGCGCCGAUGAAACACCACCCUUCCACGGCUGUACCCCUAACCUGGGUGCCAAACCCGGGGACAGCAGCAGGUGGGCAGUUUGCCUGGGGCGGCGCCCCCUUGAAAAGAUAUCGAGGGGGCCCUAAGGCCAGCUCAGGCGGGUCGGAAACCCGCCGUAGAGGGCAAGGCCAAAAGCUGGCCUGACUGGGUCCUUCACAGUAAGGGACCCAGGGGUGAAAGCCGGGCCUAGCGAUCCUCCAUGACCCCACUGGUGGGGGCUGGAGGUGACAGAAAAGUUACCCCGGGAAUAAUUGGCUUGUCGCGGGCGAGAGUUCACAUCGACCUCGCGGCUUGGUACGCCGUCGUCGUCCCUUCCCAUCCUGGCGGUGCAUAAGCCGCCAAGGGUGAGUCUGCUCGCCUAUUAAAGGGGAAUGCGAGAUGGGUUUAGACCGUCGUGAGACAGGUCGGACUCUACCUGCUGGGGGUGCUGGCCGCCUGAGGGGAGCCCGUCCUCAGUACGAAAGGAACGGGGCGGGGUGGCCUCUGGUGUACCAGCUGUCCGGUAGGGCAAGCUGGGCAGCCACGCCGCUGGGGAUAAGGGCUGAAGGCAUCUAAGCCCGAAGCCCCUCCCGAAAAUAGGCGGCCAUUCCUAGGCGUAGGAGGCCCGGCGACGGGUCUCAUGCCUAGGACGAGGGCUGGGGUAGAACACCCCGUUGAUGGGGUGGGGGUGUAAGCCGGAAGGUCUUCGGACCGACCGGUUCAGCCCGCCACUCCCAAUCGCCCGAGGUGCUGGGUCG
Candidatus Bathyarchaeota archaeon B24 is the source of this 4273-nucleotide non-coding RNA. The record is from Rfam. NCBI's taxonomy places the organism in Archaea, Thermoproteati, Candidatus Bathyarchaeota.